Long non-coding RNA from Pocillopora verrucosa, 498 nucleotides. RefSeq lists it as uncharacterized. Lineage: Eukaryota; Metazoa; Cnidaria; Anthozoa; Scleractinia; Pocilloporidae. The record is from RefSeq and is a predicted model, not a curated record.
AUUCUUGCUCACAAACCCAACAUCACUUCUAUCAGUUUGGUCCGAGUUGUGAAUAAAAACUACUGACGAGUUGUAGGAUUUGUAAGGCUGAAACUUCACGCAAACGAUGUCCAAUUUGAGAGACACAAAACUGCGCAACGUGCCAGAUUAUUUGACCAAAAACUUAUCCAAAGGAUCUGAUCAUUUGUGGCUAGGAUGGUGCAGGAUUUGGAACAGCUACAGAGCCAAGUACGUUCAAGUCAAGAACGCCAGAUUGACUCCGUUUAUUCAUGUUUGCAUUGCUGCCAUGGCCAUUAAUUAUUACAUGGAGUAUCCCCACAUUAAAGCCCAUUCCAUUUGGAGGAAGUAUCACUAAACAAGAUUGCAGCAAGUUAUCUCCUGGGUGUUUCUGUCACAAGGAACAGUUUUAUGUGAUGACCAGGGAAGAAAACAUUCAAUAAAUUGGACUGGACAGUUGUUGUAAUCAGGCAAUUUGUGAGAAUAAAAUCCUUAUUUUCA